AGUUUCAGGUAGAAUGAAAUCUUUUGACGUAAUUGCAAAAAUCAAUCAAACCAUGUCGGAUGAACUUUGUUUCAGUAUGUAUCUUAAAUACCAAGCAGUUUUCGAUGAAAUUGAGCGGCCUCAGGGAUCUUUGAAUUCUGAGUGUAUCCGGUUACUUCAAUUGUGCAAAGUAAUUCUGGAAAAGAAUCAUAUAAUGACUGGUAAAGCAAUGAAGUGCCUCAAAUUGUGGACUGAACUCGGACAUCUAUCUAAUUACUGUUCGUUUUUGAUAUGCACGAUAUCGCGUCUCCAUAAUUUAAGCUCAGAAGCCAAAUCGUUUAUCGAAAAAACUCUAGCUGAAUCUAAUGUCAGUAUCACCGAAAAUAUUAAGGACAAACGGAUUUUCAGAGGAGAAUUUUACAUUCCUAGUAAAAAUUUAGAACAUCAUACCAGUAAUUUAAACGAUGAACAUAUAUCUGCGGAACACGAUUCAACAGAAGUUGGAAAUGAUUCAACAGCUGUCAAAAAAGAUCUCAAAAAGAAAGGUAGAAAGGUCAAAAGAGAAGCAAUUGAAUGUGAAGAAACAGACUUGGGCGAAGAAGUCGACGAAAGAAUGCUUUGUUUGUAAUAUAAUGGUGAUCAUAGACUUCAUUGCCUUCACCGAUUGAAAACACUCUUUCUUAUGAUGUCUUGACUUUUAUGGAGUAUGUAUGUAUGUAUUUAUGUAUUAUGGACUCGGCGGCCCGGGAUGACUCCCUUGAACAAGAUGAGUUUUGCUGUUCAGUGAUGAAUAAAAAUAAUCAAUGUACUUUUUGAAAUUGAAACGUUUUCGUCUUAA
Symsagittifera roscoffensis is the source of this 817-nucleotide long non-coding RNA. RefSeq lists it as uncharacterized. The transcript is spliced from 2 exons. NCBI's taxonomy places the organism in Eukaryota, Metazoa, Xenacoelomorpha, Acoela, Convolutidae. The record is from RefSeq and is a predicted model, not a curated record.